RNAcentral lists this ribosomal RNA (1134 nucleotides) under Escherichia fergusonii. RNAcentral describes it as "bacterial SSU rRNA". It matches the Rfam family "Bacterial small subunit ribosomal RNA", at positions 23 to 1161 of the family's 1533-position model. The record is from RNAcentral. Lineage: Bacteria; Pseudomonadati; Pseudomonadota; Gammaproteobacteria; Enterobacterales; Enterobacteriaceae.
GGAUAACUCAGCCCUUGCAGGCCUAACACAUGCAAGUCGAACGGUAACAGGAAGAAGCUUGCUUCUUUGCUGACGAGUGGCGGACGGGUGAGUAAUGUCUGGGAAACUGCCUGAUGGAGGGGGGUAACUACUGGAAACGGUAGCUAAUACUGCAUAACGUCGCAAGACCAAAAAGGGGGACCUUCGGGCCUCUUGCCAUCGGAUGUGCCCAGAUGGGAUUAGCUAGUAGGUGGGGUAACGGCUCACCUAGGCGACGAUCCCUAGCUGGUCUGAGAGGAUGACCAGCCACACUGGAACUGAGACACGGUCCAGACUCCUACGGGAGGCAGCAGUGGGGAAUAUUGCACAAUGGGCGCAAGCCUGAUGCAGCCAUGCCGCGUGUAUGAAGAAGGCCUUCGGGUUGUAAAGUACUUUCAGCGGGGAGGAAGGGAGUAAAGUUAAUACCUUUGCUCAUUGACGUUACCCGCAGAAGAAGCACCGGCUAACUCCGUGCCAGCAGCCGCGGUAAUACGGAGGGUGCAAGCGUUAAUCGGAAUUACUGGGCGUAAAGCGCACGCAGGCGGUUUGUUAAGUCAGAUGUGAAACCCCCGGGCUCAACCUGGGAACUGCAUCUGAUACUGGCAAGCUUGAGUCUCGUAGAGGGGGGUAGAAUUCCAGGUGUAGCGGUGAAAUGCGUAGAGAUCUGGAGGAAUACCGGUGGCGAAGGCGGCCCCCUGGACGAAGACUGACGCUCAGGUGCGAAAGCGUGGGGAGCAAACAGGAUUAGAUACCCUGGGUAGUCCACGCCGUAAACGAUGUCGACUUGGAGGUUGUGCCCUUGAGGCGUGGCUUCCGGAGCUAACGCGUUAAGUCGACCGCCUGGGGAGUACGGCCGCAAGGUUAAAACUCAAAUGAAUUGACGGGGGCCCGCACAAGCGGUGGAGCAUGUGGUUUAAUUCGAUGCAACGCGAAGAACCUUACCUGGUCUUGACAAUCCACCGGAAGUUUUCAGAGAUGAGAAUGUGCCUUCGGGAACCAUGAGACAGUGCUGCAUGGCUGUCGUCAGCUCGUGUGUGAAUGUGGCAGUCCGCUACGAGCGCAACCCUUAUCCUUGUGCCACCGUCGGCGGGAAACCUCAAGGAAGAAUCGUGCCAA